This 29-nucleotide non-coding RNA is filed under the name Homo sapiens (human). Lineage: Eukaryota; Metazoa; Chordata; Mammalia; Primates; Hominidae. The record is from RNAcentral.
GGAAUGGUCUUUUUGGAAUGGCUAGAGGC